AGUGAACGCUGGCGGUAGGCCUAACACAUGCAAGUCGAACGGCAGCACAGUAAGAGCUUGCUCUUACGGGUGGCGAGUGGCGGACGGGUGAGGAAUACAUCGGAAUCUACUUUUUCGUGGGGGAUAACGUAGGGAAACUUACGCUAAUACCGCAUACGACCUACGGGUGAAAGCAGGGGAUCUUCGGACCUUGCGCGAUUGAAUUAGCCGAUGUCGGAUUAGCUAGUUGGCGGGGUAAAGGCCCACCAAGGCGACGAUCCGUAGCUGGUCUGAGAGGAUGAUCAGCCACACUGGAAGUGAGACACGGUCCAGACUCCUACGGGAGGCAGCAGUGGGGAAUAUUGGACAAUGGGCGCAAGCCUGAUCCAGCCAUACCGCGUGGGUGAAGAAGGCCUUCGGGUUGUAAAGCCCUUUUGUUGGGAAAGAAAAGCAGCAGGUUAAUACCCCGCUGUUCUGACGGUACCCAAAGAAUAAGCACCGGCUAACUUCGUG
This 492-nucleotide ribosomal RNA is filed under the name uncultured bacterium. Its description in RNAcentral is "partial 16S ribosomal RNA". It matches the Rfam family "Bacterial small subunit ribosomal RNA", at positions 29 to 507 of the family's 1533-position model. The record is from RNAcentral.